Molecule: non-coding RNA, 78 nt
Organism: Podarcis lilfordi (Lilford's wall lizard)
Lineage: Eukaryota; Metazoa; Chordata; Lepidosauria; Squamata; Lacertidae
Source: the annotation of a GenBank genome assembly
UUUAAGUAGGAUAGCUCAGUUGGUAAAGCAUGAGACUCUUAAUCUCAGAACGUGGGUUCAAGACCCACAUUGGCAAAA